UAAUACGUAGGUGGCGAGCGUUAUCCGGAUUUAUUGGGCGUAAAGAGGGCGCAGGCGGUUUUUCAAGUCGGAUGUAAAAUCUUCCAGCUUAACUGGAAGGGAUCAUUCGAUACUGUUAAACUGGAGUGCAACAGGGGGAGGUAGAAUUCCCGGUGUAGUGGUGAAAUGCGUAGAUAUCGGGAGGAAUACCAGUGGCGAAGGCGGCCUCCUGGGUUGUUACUGACGCUUAAGCCCGAAGGCGUGGGAGCAAACAGGAUUAGAUACCCUGGUAGUCCACGCUGUAAACUAUGGACAUUGGGUAUAGGGAGUAUCGACCCUCUCUGUGCCGAAGCUAACGCGUUAAGUGUCCCGUCUGGGAAGUACGGCCGCAAGGCUA
Molecule: ribosomal RNA, 376 nt
Filed under: uncultured Chloroflexota bacterium
Lineage: Bacteria; Bacillati; Chloroflexota
Description: bacterial SSU rRNA
Rfam family: Bacterial small subunit ribosomal RNA
Source: RNAcentral